GCCUAGGUAGUUCGGUUGGUAGAGCAUGAGACUCUGGAUUUCAGGGUCGUGGGUUCGAGCUUCACCUUGGGCA
Molecule: non-coding RNA, 73 nt
Organism: Zootoca vivipara (common lizard)
Lineage: Eukaryota; Metazoa; Chordata; Lepidosauria; Squamata; Lacertidae
Source: the annotation of a RefSeq genome assembly